CGGACGGGUGAGUAACGCGUGAGAACCUGCCCUUGGGAGGGGGACAACCACUGGAAACGGUGGCUAAUACCGGAUGUGCCGAAAGGUGAAAGGUUAACUGCCUGAAGAUGAGCUCGCGUCUGAUUAGCUAGUUGGUAGAGUAAAAGCCUACCAAGGCGACGAUCAGUAGCUGGUCUGAGAGGACGAUCAGCCACACUGGGACUGAGACACGGCCCAGACUCCUACGGGAGGCAGCAGUGGGGAAUUUUCCGCAAUGGGCGAAAGCCUGACGGAGCAAUACCGCGUGAGGGAGGAAGGCUCUUGGGUCGUAAACCUCUUUUCUCAGGGAAGAACACAAUGACGGUACCUGAGGAAUAAGCAUCGGCUAACUCCGUGCCAGCAGCCGCGGUAAUACGGAGGAUGCAAGCGUUAUCCGGAAUGAUUGGGCGUAAAGCGUCCGCAGGUGGCAAUGUAAGUCUGCUGUUAAAGAGUCUAGCUCAACUAGAUAAGAGCAGUGGAAACUACAUAGCUAGAGUACGUUCGGGGCAGAGGGAAUUCCUGGUGUAGCGGUGAAAUGCGUAGAGAUCAGGAAGAACACCAGUGGCGAAGGCGCUCUGCUAGGCCGUAACUGACACUGAGGGACGAAAGCUAGGGGAGCGAAUGGGAUUAGAUACCCCAGUAGUC
Molecule: ribosomal RNA, 663 nt
Filed under: uncultured cyanobacterium
Lineage: Bacteria; Bacillati; Cyanobacteriota
Description: bacterial SSU rRNA
Rfam family: Bacterial small subunit ribosomal RNA
Source: RNAcentral